GCUGGGUAUGGUGGUGCAUGCCUGUACCCAGCAGCUUGGGAGGCUGAGGCAGGAGGAUUGUGAGUUCCAAGCUAGUCUCAGCAACUUAACGAGACCCUGUCUCAA
RNAcentral lists this small RNA (105 nucleotides) under Marmota monax (woodchuck). Lineage: Eukaryota; Metazoa; Chordata; Mammalia; Rodentia; Sciuridae. The record is from RNAcentral.